UGUAGAAGAAAAGGAAAAUGUGAAGAAAGUUCUGAACUUUGUUUUUGUAUUGAUACUCUCUUAGCCCUUACAAUGGUUCUUUUCACAUAUUUAUAUAGAACCAGAGACAAUUGUAAACCUAGCUACACUGACACAUGUCGUUAUCAGAGAGGAGAUUGAGGGUAUCAAAAGCAUUCUUCGUCUCUAUCUGCAGAAUCGUACCGCAGCUCACCGUUUUGGCUUUUGCAGCAGAGGUGUUUUUCUCUGCAAUUUCCUUCUUCUUAUCUUCAUGUGACCGUUGCACAGUGGGGAGCUUAGUGGGCUUUUCUGUUUGAACGUUGUUGUUGUUAUUGGGCUUGUCUUGAUCCAUAUCUUUAUUUUUGAAAGCCUUGACUUCAAAAGCUGGUUUCACCUGAGAGCUUUGUUUCUCCUUUAUACU
Molecule: long non-coding RNA, 418 nt
Filed under: Capsella grandiflora
Lineage: Eukaryota; Viridiplantae; Streptophyta; Magnoliopsida; Brassicales; Brassicaceae
Description: long non-coding RNA (CGRA_LNC000241)
Source: RNAcentral